AUUGAACGCUGGCGGCAGGCCUAACACAUGCAAGUCGAGCGGAUGAAGAGUGCUUGCUCCUGGAUACAGUGGCCGACGGGCGUGUAAUGCAUAAGAAUAUGCCUCGCAGCGGGGGAUAACGCCAGAAAACGGGUGCUAAUACCGCAUACGCCCUGACGGAGUAUGUGGGGGAUCUUCGGACCUCACGCCCUCAUAUGAGUCUAGGUCGGGAUUGCUAUUUGGAGGGGUAAAGGCCUACCAAGGCGGAGAUUCGUAAAUGGCCUGAUAGGAUGAUCAGUGACACUGGAAGUGAGACACGGGCCAGACGCCUACGGUAGGCAGCAGUCGAGAAGAUUGGACAGUAGGCGGAAGCCUGAUCCAGCCGUGCGGCGUGUAUGAAGAAGGCCUUCGGAGUGUAAAGCACUCUGAGUUGGAUGAAAGGGCAGUAAGUUAAUACCGCGGUGUGUUGACGUUACCUACAGAAUAAGCACCGGCUAACUGCGUG
RNAcentral lists this ribosomal RNA (484 nucleotides) under uncultured bacterium. Its description in RNAcentral is "partial 16S ribosomal RNA". It matches the Rfam family "Bacterial small subunit ribosomal RNA", at positions 30 to 507 of the family's 1533-position model. The record is from RNAcentral.